GUCACAACGUCACAAAAGGGUUAAGUUCGGUCCUACGGUGACGUCAAAAGAUGUUGAUGUUUUGAUUUCGACAGAAUUCCGGAAGCCGUGUCACAGCAACUGUUUUCAUUUAAAUUCUUACUGAAUAUAAUUUGGUUUAAUACCACUGAAAGCAGCGUAAUAUUCGUUUUAGUGACAUGUCGUCUCUCUGUAAUUCCAUGUUAAAUCUGAGGUCUGUCUAACCACAGUUACGCUCGUACAUGACCAAAUGAAUCAUGGGCAACGGCAUGAAUAAGGUUGUUGAUGGUCUCUAUCUAGGAAAUAUAAGAGACUCAGAAAACAGAGACAGUCUGUCCCACAAUGGCAUCACUCAUAUCCUCUCCGUGUGCAACAAUGCCAAGCCUGUGUUAGAGGACAUGACCUAUCUGUGCAUUAAUGCAGCUGAUGCCUCCAGCCAAAAUUUAAUAUGCCUACUGCCCUACUAUAUAAAAGGCAAAAAAAGGUCUCAACAUUUCAAAGAGUCCAUACGCUUUAUUCAUGAGUGUCGACUUAAUGGAGGGGCAUGUCUAGUUCAUUGUCUUGCUGGGGUGUCUCGCAGUACCACCGUGGUGGUGGCUUACCUCAUGACUGUCACCAGCUAUGGCUGGGAAGAGUGUCUGACUGCAGUGAAGGCUGUGCGCUCUUUUGUGGGCCCAAACUAUGGCUUCCAGCAGCAGCUGCAGGAGUUCCAGAUGAAACAGGUGUCAGAGGCACUUCUCCUGGAAGAGCGCGUGCACACACAUCAACCAGAGCGAGAGAGCAAGAGCAAGAGCAUGCCCAUCAAUGUGCUUUGUUCGGGUUACGGAAGUCAUCGGCAGCGCUGCACAGGACUUGCUCGAGAAAGAAUUUAUCACUUUGUUUUUAGACCACGAAAUCAACAAUGUCACCAAAGAAGUGUGUUUUUGGUUGUGAGGGAAAGAUAACCUUGCUUCCCAAAGAACCCAGCAUUAAGUGGAGCUGAGAGAUUUGUGCUCACGCAUUACAUUGAUGCGCCCUCUACAUUUGUCAUUAAAAUAACCAUAGAAACCGCCUUAAAUUAACUAUCAAAAUAAGGAUAAAGUCGUGUCUGAAAGUUGCAAUCAGUUUUUUAUUGGUUAAAAUGAAUGGAAUAUUUUGUGUUUUUCCGUGGCUGCUCGAGCCCUCAGGAUUGGAGCUUAUGGUUUUAUUAACAAGGCCCAGGUCGACGCUGGAUUUACAGAUCGUUUGAAACUGAAAGAUGGAGCGGUCACAGCGAUAAAAGAUCCCCGUCAUGAGUUGGAACCGCAGGUGUCACCACACUCACUGACUCUGGGUCAGCCGGGAACUCAUCUCUCAAACCCUCUCAUUUCUACAAGAUCGUUUCUGGUGGCCCAGUAUGGCACGUGACAUCAGAAGGUUCGUGAGUAGGUGUACGGAUUGAGCCAUCUCGUAGACUCCACAACAUCUCCCAUCUGUCCCAUCUGGCAAGCUCCUUCCUCUGCCUGUUCCAAAUCUCUCCUGGUCACAUCUAGGGGUGGAUUUUAUCACGGAUCUACCUCCAACCCAAGGUAACACUUGCAUCCUGGUAAUUGUGGAUCAUUUUUCUAAAUCAUGUCAUCUUAUUCCCCUCAAAGGAUUACCCACUGCCAUGGAGACCACAGAGCUCCUUUUCAAUCACGUCUUCAGAAUCUUUGGGAUUCCCAAAGACAUUGCAUCUGACAGGGGGCCUUAGUUUAUUUCCAGAGUUUGGAAGGCUUUCAUGAAACUCCUAUAUGUGACUGUAAGCCUCUCCUCUGGAUACCUUCCUCGAACCAAAGGGCAGACAGAAACCUCCGAACCUUCUGCCAUAACCACCAGAACUCCUGGAGCCUGUAUCUAGCUUGGGCUGAGAACACACAAAACUCCCUUCAUCAGCAAAAAAUGGGUCUUACUCCAUUUCAGUGUGUACUCGGCUACCAACCACCCAUGUUCCCCUGGUAGGUGGAACCAUCGGAUGUACCAUCAGUCAACCACUGGUUCCAGGAGAGUGAGAGAGUCUGGGACUCAGCUCACCAUCAUCUUCAAGGGGCCAUAAGAAGACAAAAACAACAUGCUGACACACGUAGAUCAUCUACUUCAAACUACCGUCUGGGGCAGAAGGUAUGGCUUUCAACCAAAAACAUCAGGUUACGUCUACCUUGCAAGAAGCUGAUUCCCAGGUACAUUGGCCCCUUUGAAAUCACCAAGGAGAUCUAUCCGGUAUCCUUUCAACUCAGGCUGCCAGACCACUACCGCAUUCACCCUGUAUUCCAUGUCUCUCAACUCAAGCUGUAUCACUCACCUGUUUCUUUCCCUUCCACAGAGCCUGGUGAUGGUGGCGUACCUCCCUUGCCUUCUGUGGUGGAAGAUGGAGGAGUCUUUACAGUUCGAGAGAUCGUCGACUCCCGGGGUGGUGUACUGGAUUAUUUGGUGGACUGGGAAGGCUACGGCCCAGAGGAACGAUCUUGGGUUCCUAGAGGUGACACACUGGACCCUGAGUUACUCACCACCUUCCACAGUUCCCAUCCUGAGAAACCUGCACUAUGCAAAAGGGGUCGCCCACCUUGUCAUUGUUGGAGUCGUCGGCCCCCAGGAGUGGUCCGUUUAGAGGGGGGUACUGUCACGGAAUCACCAGGCUUCACCUAACUCCAAAUGCUAAUCCAUCUGAAAGCACUGCUUCGCCACAAUGAUCGCAAUCACCAGAGUUUUAAUCAUCACCAGCUGUCACUCAUUUUGCCUGCACCAGUUACAAGGACUCUCCACACAUACACUCAUUGGGUGAUUCUCAAUUCUUAUUUGUGCAUCCUUGUUUCCUUUCCUCGCGUGAGUGAAGGACACAAGGAAAAGACGCGAAGACAGAGGAAUUGAAUUAAGUGAAAUGAUAUCCUCGCUCCCUUUAUCGUCACUUCAAAGCGUCAUCAGGGGGGAUCUGUCUCGAGGGAUCUACCCAUAUGUUGUUAAAGUUUAGUUAUUUAAAAAAUUAUAAUAAAUAUUAAUAAAGCAAGAUGCCCCGUUGAAAUAUGCAAGGUGUAAAGUUUAUUUAAACUGCAAAAGUAAAGCAUACAUUUAAAUUAUUGUGACAGAUAUGAAGGGGGAGGAGAAUUUAUACGUGCAUCACUUUUCUCGACGAGAAAGACUUCCGCAAAGGAUACACCUGUGUAUCCUCGCUCAUGACUCCUCAGGAAGAUUCCUCACUCCUCGUUCCUCGCCUCCUCGUGGUGCAAUUAGAGAAUUGAGAUGUCCUUCAAGAUGGCUGAGCUUGAUCGGUUUCCGGGUCAUAGGAUGGAGGACGGAGGAGCGAGGAAACAAGGAGGGAUAUUGAGAAGCACCCCUGGUCUAGUCUCAUCUUAAGCCAGGGACACACUUAACGACUAGCUAAAACAUUCUAAGACUGAGCUCAACACACAAAGACUGUUUCCUUCGACUGAAGCAGAUUAAAAUACUUACACACAGAAUUUAAACACCAACUGUAAACACUGACUGAACGCAACUGGCUCUGACUCAGCGCGUUUGGGCAUUAUCAGUUGUAAGUAUCAAAUUCCAUUCAUAAUCAGUAAUUUAAAUCGUUACCUACCUGACAACUCCUUACCUGCUGUUCCUCUCCUCACCUAAGUCUCCAUUCUCCUCAUCUCCGAUAUCCAGUAUCCAGCUCCUUGUCUCCAGUUCCGUGUCCUAUUCCAAGUACCGUGUGUACGUCCUGCAACAAAAGAAAGGAAAGUGCUUGUUAACUAUUCAUCAGUGACUGAGAAACGUCUGUGUAUGUGUGGCAACGUACCUGUCUGUUAUCCUCCAGCUGUGUCUUUUAUACUUACCUGUUCAUCCACCACCAUUACCAUUCUCAUUCUGCUGUGUUAAAUAAAGCUUGCCUUUAACGUUA
This is an RNA transcript of Ctenopharyngodon idella (grass carp), 3871 nucleotides long. It is a transcript of the gene named dual specificity phosphatase 22a, with no coding region annotated. The transcript is spliced from 9 exons. Lineage: Eukaryota; Metazoa; Chordata; Actinopteri; Cypriniformes; Xenocyprididae. The record is from RefSeq and is a predicted model, not a curated record.